AUUGAACGCUGGCGGCAGGCCUAACACAUGCAAGUCGAACGGUAACAGGAAGAAGCUUGCUUCUUUGCUGACGAGUGGCGGACGGGUGAGUAAUGUCUGGGAAACUGCCUGAUGGAGGGGGAUAACUACUGGAAACGGUAGCUAAUACCGCAUAACGUCGCAAGACCAAAAAGGGGACCUUCGGGCCUCUUGCCAUCGGAUGUGCCCAGAGGGGAUUAGCUAGUAGGUGGGGUAACGGCUCACCUAGGCGACGAUCCCAGCUGGUCUGAGAGGAUGACCAGCCACACUGGAACUGAGACACGGUCCAGACUCCUACGGGAGGCAGCAGUGGGGAAUAUUGCACAAUGGGCGCAAGCCUGAUGCAGCCAUGCCGCGUGUAUGAAGAAGGCCUUCGGGUUGUAAAGUACUUUCAGCGGGGAGGAAGGGAGUAAAGUUAAUACCUUUGCUCAUUGACGUUACCCGCAGAAGAAGCACCGGCUAACUCCGUG
This 488-nucleotide ribosomal RNA is filed under the name uncultured bacterium. RNAcentral's name for it is "partial 16S ribosomal RNA". It matches the Rfam family "Bacterial small subunit ribosomal RNA", at positions 30 to 507 of the family's 1533-position model. The record is from RNAcentral.